AUACGGAGGAUGCGAGCGUUAUCCGGAUUUAUUGGGUUUAAAGGGAGCGUAGGCGGACGCUUAAGUCAGUUGUGAAAGUUUGCGGCUCAACCGUAAAAUUGCAGUUGAUACUGGCUGUCUUGAGUACAGUAGAGGUGGGCGGAAUUCGUGGUGUAGCGGUGAAAUGCUUAGAUAUCACGAAGAACUCCGAUUGCGAAGGCAGCUCACUAGACUGUUACUGACACUGAUGCUCGAAAGUGUGGGUAUCAAACAGGAUUAGAUACCCUGGUAGUCCACACAGUAAACGAUGAAUACUCGCUGUUUGCGAUAUACAGUAAGCGGCCAAGCGAAAGCAUUAAGUAUUCCACCUGGGGAGUACGCCGGCAACGGUGAAACUUAAAGGAAUUGACGGGG
This 393-nucleotide ribosomal RNA is filed under the name uncultured bacterium. Its description in RNAcentral is "partial 16S ribosomal RNA". It matches the Rfam family "Bacterial small subunit ribosomal RNA", at positions 523 to 918 of the family's 1533-position model. The record is from RNAcentral.